This 76-nucleotide transfer RNA is filed under the name Phrynosoma platyrhinos (Desert horned lizard). RNAcentral describes it as "tRNA-OTHER". The record is from RNAcentral. Lineage: Eukaryota; Metazoa; Chordata; Lepidosauria; Squamata; Phrynosomatidae.
GGUGGUAUGUGGUGUAGUGGUUUGAGUGUUGGACUAUGACUCUGGAGAACAGGGUUUGAAUCCCUGCCCUUCACCA